GACGGAGGAGGCAAGCGUUAUCCGGAAUUAUUGGGCGUAAAGGGUACGUAGGCGGCUGGUCAAGUCUGGGGUCAAAGGGCACAGCUCAACUGUGGGAAGGCCCUGGAAACUGACCGGCUAGAGUGAGGUAGGGGUUGCGGGAAUUCCCGGUGUAGCGGUGAAAUGCGUAGAGAUCGGGAAGAACACCCGAGGCGGAAGCGCGCAACUGGGCCUCAACUGACGCUGAGGUACGAAAGAUAGGGGAGCGAAUGGG
RNAcentral lists this ribosomal RNA (253 nucleotides) under uncultured bacterium. Its description in RNAcentral is "partial 16S ribosomal RNA". It matches the Rfam family "Bacterial small subunit ribosomal RNA", at positions 524 to 776 of the family's 1533-position model. The record is from RNAcentral.